Molecule: ribosomal RNA, 253 nt
Filed under: uncultured bacterium
Lineage: Bacteria
Description: partial 16S ribosomal RNA
Rfam family: Bacterial small subunit ribosomal RNA
Source: RNAcentral
UACAGAGGGUGCGAGCGUUAAUCGGAAUUACUGGGCGUAAAGCGCGUGUAGGCGGCUUUGCAAGUCGGGUGUGAAAGCCCUCGGCUCAACCGAGGAAGUGCGCCCGAAACUGCAGAGCUUGAGUGCCGGAGAGGGUGGCGGAAUUCCCCAAGUAGAGGUGAAAUUCGUAGAUAUGGGGAGGAACACCAGUGGCGAAGGCGGCCACCUGGACGGUUACUGACGCUGAGACGCGAAAGCGUGGGGAGCAAACAGG